UUGAACGCUGGCGGCAUGCCUUACACAUGCAAGUCGCACGGCAGCACGGGUGCUUGCACCUGGUGGCGAGUGGCGAACGGGUGAGUAAUACAUCGGAACAUGUCCUGUAGUGGGGGAUAGCCCGGCGAAAGCCGGAUUAAUACCGCAUACGAUCUACGGAUGAAAGCGGGGGACCUUCGGGCCUCGCGCUAUAGGGUUGGCCGAUGGCUGAUUAGCUAGUUGGUGGGGUAAAGGCCUACCAAGGCGACGAUCAGUAGCUGGUCUGAGAGGACGACCAGCCACACUGGGACUGAGACACGGCCCAGACUCCUACGGGAGGCAGCAGUGGGGAAUUUUGGACAAUGGGCGAAAGCCUGAUCCAGCAAUGCCGCGUGUGUGAAGAAGGCCUUCGGGUUGUAAAGCACUUUUGUCCGGAAAGAAAUCCUUGGCCCUAAUACGGUCGGGGGAUGACGGUACCGGAAGAAUAAGCACCGGCUAACUACGU
This 484-nucleotide ribosomal RNA is filed under the name uncultured bacterium. RNAcentral describes it as "partial 16S ribosomal RNA". It matches the Rfam family "Bacterial small subunit ribosomal RNA", at positions 30 to 506 of the family's 1533-position model. The record is from RNAcentral.